GAGUUUGAUCGUGGCUCAGAACGAACGCUGGCGGCGUGGAUAAGACAUGCAAGUCGAACGGGAGAAUUGCUAGCUUGCUAAUAAUUCUCUAGCGGCGCACGGGUGAGUAACACGUGAGUAACCUGCCCCCGAGAGCGGGAUAGCCCUGGGAAACUGGGAUUAAUACCGCAUAGUAUCGAAAGAUUAAAGCAGCAAUGCGCUUGGGGAUGGGCUCGCGGCCUAUUAGUUAGUUGGUGAGGUAACGGCUCACCAAGGCGAUGACGGGUAGCCGGUCUGAGAGGAUGUCCGGCCACACUGGAACUGAGACACGGUCCAGACACCUACGGGUGGCAGCAGUCGAGAAUCAUUCACAAUGGGGGAAACCCUGAUGGUGCGACGCCGCGUGGGGGAAUGAAGGUCUUCGGAUUGUAAACCCCUGUCAUGUGGGAGCAAAUUAAAAAGAUAGUACCACAAGAGGAAGAGACGGCUAACUCUGUGCCAGCAGCCGCAGUAAU
RNAcentral lists this ribosomal RNA (494 nucleotides) under uncultured microorganism. Its description in RNAcentral is "bacterial SSU rRNA". It matches the Rfam family "Bacterial small subunit ribosomal RNA", at positions 9 to 524 of the family's 1533-position model. The record is from RNAcentral.